Neodiprion virginianus is the source of this 1059-nucleotide long non-coding RNA. RefSeq lists it as uncharacterized. The record is from RefSeq and is a predicted model, not a curated record. The transcript is spliced from 4 exons. Lineage: Eukaryota; Metazoa; Arthropoda; Insecta; Hymenoptera; Diprionidae.
CACCACUAGCCUCGGCCGCGCAUGGCUGUCACUUACUCGCUACAACUGACGCCGGACGCAUCGCUGAUCACUACUACUGGCACAGGCGGACCAGAGCGCCGUUUACUACUAACGUCGCCGCACCGAACGAAUGAUCAGUGACUACGGCUGCCACUUGCUGCCCCGGAACUGCCUUGUUACCGAGCCUCGGAUUAACCCCUGACAGGCAAUGAGGGUAAAAUUCCUCCCCCCAACCCCCUCGCAAAAAAAAAAAAAAUAAAAAAUAUUGGACUGAACUUUAAUUUAUAAAAAAAAAAUUUCACUAGCUUAAUCAGAGGCUGAGAUAUUUGAAAUUAAUUUCCCCUGGGUAUUUUUUACACUCGUUGCCACGAAAGGUAUACGGUUUGGAUGUUUUCCUGUCAGGGGUUAAUAUGUACAUGAUCACCACCUACAUCGAAAUCCGACGGCUACUCACGGAUCAGAGACCCGAAGCUUUUCAAAAAUUAAAACACAUCACCCCCCCGAGCAUCGGUGGUAUACGACUACGGGGGGUGUGGAAAAUCUGAGAGCGUGUACCGAGACAGAGAAGAAUAACUUAUUACUCACCGUCCGGAGGAAGGAGACGUCAUCCUGCUCGGAGCCACCCUCGCUGUCCGCCAUCCUCCAAGCAGCAGCAGCGGCAGAGUUCUUCCUCGAAUCGUGAUAAUUUUCGGUUUAUUCGACAAUCUUCCCUGCGGCGUAUAAUGAACUCGGCGGGGGUAUAUCAGUGAACGGCGAGACGACGUUCGAGCAUGUUCGUCGCGUGGUCGAUGCGCGGCUUGCGGACGCUGAACGCCGGCACCAAACUCCGUCGCGACGACGACUGACGCACUCGCUCUGUCUCGUCUCGACGAGGGUCCUCGGGUUACAGGUAGCGGCAGAUUGCCCGGAGAUCAGCGCAGGCUCGAGAGGACAGGGAACGAGAUUUUCGUCUCCGAGGAUUCGCACGAUUGUUGGGAUGUAGAAUUGUUCCGAAAAAUUCUUAGUUUGGAUAAAACAAACUGUAAAAAAAAUUAAAUAAAUAAAUAAAUAAUUUCAAAA